GAUGAACGCUGGCGGCGUGCCUAAUACAUGCAAGUCGAGCGAACAGACGAGGAGCUUGCUCCUCUGACGUUAGCGGCGGACGGGUGAGUAACACGUGGAUAACCUACCUAUAAGACUGGGAUAACUUCGGGAAACCGGAGCUAAUACCGGAUAAUAUAUUGAACCGCAUGGUUCAAUAGUGAAAGACGGUUUUGCUGUCACUUAUAGAUGGAUCCGCGCCGCAUUAGCUAGUUGGUAAGGUAACGGCUUACCAAGGCAACGAUGCGUAGCCGACCUGAGAGGGUGAGCGGCCACACUGGAGCUGAGACACGCUCCAGACUCCUACGGGAGGCAGCAGUAGGGAAUCUUCCGCAAUGGGCGAAAGCCUGACGGAGCAACGCCGCGUGAGUGAUGAAGGUCUUCGGAUCGUAAAACUCUGUUAUUAGGGAAGAACAAAUGUGUAAGUAACUAUGCACGUCUUGACGGUACCUAAUCAGAAAGCCACGGCUAACUACGUG
This 497-nucleotide ribosomal RNA is filed under the name uncultured bacterium. RNAcentral describes it as "partial 16S ribosomal RNA". It matches the Rfam family "Bacterial small subunit ribosomal RNA", at positions 28 to 507 of the family's 1533-position model. The record is from RNAcentral.